AAGGCGGAACCGAAAAGCCAAUAACAGAGUAGGGA
This is a non-coding RNA of Chryseobacterium gambrini, 35 nucleotides long. Lineage: Bacteria; Pseudomonadati; Bacteroidota; Flavobacteriia; Flavobacteriales; Weeksellaceae. The record is from Rfam.